GAAAUAGUUACUUGUGAAGGGACAUUUCAGGUGUUUCUUAAACAUUCUUGCAUUACAGCUGUAGCAUCAAGAGGUUAAAAUACCUAGAACAUUUCUCCUUACCCUGUCUCUCACACACCACGUUUAAAAUUAGAACAUCAUAAGGAAAAUCGUAGGUGGCUCUGGGGAAGAAGGGGAUAUUUUACGGCUGAAAGUCACAAAGCCAUCAAAUAACAUCUUCACAAAUACCUGGGUCUUGCAGGUCUUCAACAUGGCUGGCACUGACACAGCUGCCUUCCUGCAUGCGGCUCCGUGCAAUGUCACUCAAUGGCGUAGAAGAUGGACUGCAGAAGAGAAGGACAGAGCACAGAGGAGCCCAGGAGCAGGGAGCCUGGCCAGGGGCCCCCUCAGGUGCUGUGCAGCAGCUGGUGUUGUGAAUCAGGCCGUCACCAGUCGGAGAACGGCUACUUCACAACACCAGGGUCGCACCGCACCACGCUUCCACGGCCGGCUGGAGAAGAGCAGUGUUUCCUGUGGGCAGGCAAGGGACGUGGAGCACCUCCUGGCUGCUUCCACACAAGCCCAGACCUGCAAAGGUAAUCAGGUGCUCAACUCCUAUUUAGGCACCAGCCUCCCACUGAAGUCUGAAAUAGAAGUUAGGCCCCUAAAUAUCUCUGUGGGUCUGGCCCCGAAACCCUGCGUCGCUGUGCAGUGCAGAGCUUCAGCAGGCACAGGGCAGCACUGUCAGCAGCAUGGUCACUGCCUGUUCUUGUGCCACAUGAAGGUUAAGGAACAGGAAGCUUUCAUUAAGCUGUGGAAAACAGUAAAAAAACCCAUUCUGCAUGAUGCAUGUGUGGUUCUGCCUGACAGUCACAUCUGUGGUCCUUGCCUGUGAUUUGUUCUGAACCCUUCCCUACCUCGACACCCAAGCACGUACUCUCUGUAAAAGGUUGUGUACAUACCAGGAAAAGGUUGGGCUUCUUGCUAUUGAUACUACACCUGGUCAGCCUCUGCCAACGUGCCUCUAUCCAAACCAGCCCUAGGUAUGUUGUGAUGAAUGAAAAAAUUAAUGGUGGCAUCAUCCAGAAGUGGUACCAACAACUGCAGUCCUUAAAAUAGAGAAAACAUUGCUAAAGCAGUGCCUCAUAAAUUCCUAGGUGUAGAGGCAUAGUGAGGCAUAUCAAACCAAGUGACCCUGUAACAUGUGCUGUGCACUUCAGAUUUUAAAAACAGGCUCUUCUCUGCCUGCACCUUUGUACCACACCACCAGUGUGAUGUUAGUUUGAGAGGAGUGGGUUACAGAAGAGCGCUUUCCAUCCAAAUCUGGGUUACGUACAGGGAGGUUGGCACACACCUGAUGGCCAGUGUAUACAAUCCCUUGAAUCAAACUGAAAUGCUGUUCAGUUUUGAUCUCAGAAAGCAGGCAUGUGGUCUUGGUCUCAGGAUGGGGUGUUCUUUGGUGGGUUUUCCCUUCCUCCCACCCCUCAGGAUGGCUCUGUGCUCUCAGGUGUGUCUGGCUGUCCCCUUGUAUGAUAUAAACCACUAGAUAUGUCUAAAGCAAAGAGUGGAGAAGUGCAAAGAGAAAUUAUUCAGGUAACAUAGAACCAGUGAUGGUUUUUGUGAAAGUUUUCUUCAUUAUCCUAACUCAUCUGACUGAAGAUGGCAGUAAAAAUUAUUUUACAUUCCAUUCUGGAUGCAUUAUUGCUGGCAGGGAGAUAGAUGUAGGGGAGAGUCAGGAUAUGCACAAUAUCUAAAAUAGUAUGGGACAGCCUGGAAAUGCAAAUGAAAGGUGACAAUGGUUGUUUCAUUGGACCCAUCUAAUCUUUCUGUUCAGAUGGACUCCCUGCACAAGGAGCCCUGAAUUCCUUUUAUAGCAAAAAGUCAAAUACCUUGAACAAUGUAAGAGGUGUAUGGGAGGCUCAUUCGUGCAUUAGGGGGUUUUGUCAUUGAUGAGAGGAAAACUAGAUCAUGUUUCUCAUUUGUGCACUAUGAAUUUGUGAAUUCAACAUGCAAGAACACUGUUUAAUAAACUUGUUCUCUGCUAACA
This is a long non-coding RNA of Zonotrichia albicollis (white-throated sparrow), 2026 nucleotides long. The record is from Ensembl. NCBI's taxonomy places the organism in Eukaryota, Metazoa, Chordata, Aves, Passeriformes, Passerellidae.